GCGUUUUAAAGAAAAAAAAGGAAGGGAGUUGGCGUGUUCUCUGGACUAAGUCCAGACUCCGGCCGAGGAGCCGCCGCGCCUCCGCCGCAGACGGUGGUCGGGCACCCUAGGUGAUGGAGCAGGUGACGGAGCAGUUGGUGGCGUGCGGCGCUGGCCAGAGGCGGGGUUUGGGGCUGGCGGCAGCUAGGUUUUCAGAAAAUUAAAACCCUAGUUUGACUAUUGUUAUUUUUUGGGCCUGUUGGGCUGUACAUAAGCUAUAAAUAUUUUUCAUUUAAGAAAUCUUUUGUUUGGACGA
Molecule: long non-coding RNA, 295 nt
Organism: Gossypium raimondii (Peruvian cotton)
Lineage: Eukaryota; Viridiplantae; Streptophyta; Magnoliopsida; Malvales; Malvaceae
Exons: 2
Source: RefSeq, a predicted model, not a curated record